AAGAGCAAAUACUGGUUUGUUCAGAGUCAGAAUAAUGUGUCAAGGUAAGGUGACAUGUCUCUCAGAGAACUAGUGUAAGAGAUAAAUUAGUCCUGGUAAAAAUAAUGAAAAUUGUCUGGUCAGACAAAUAUAACUAGUAUUAAAAGUCCAUGGAUACAGAAUUUACUAGUAUAUUUAGUCCGAUGUCAGUAAUUUAUGUCCCCAGACUAAUUUUCCUAGUCCAUGACAUCACUAUUCCGAGGUAAAAAUGUCCAGUUUUUCUAAUACUGUAUGCAUCAUGUCAAGUAUAUUUGGUGUAUGAAAAUUUUUAAGGAUGUAUGUUUGUCUGGCAUGUUUUAUUCAACCUUGACCUCAUUUUUAUGGUUCAUUGCUCAAUGUUAUUUUUUUUGUUUGUUUUUUGGUCACUUUUUCUAUUUCCUUAUUUUCAAAUUAGCAAUAGGUCAACUAUAUUUGGUGUAUGGAAUGAUUGUAAGGUGCAUAUGUCUGACUGAGAAGUUUCAUCUUACCUUGACUUUAUUUUCAUAGUACAUUGGACAAUGUUUAGUUUUUGUGGUUUGAUCUAUUUUUCGGAUACUGUUAGCAAUAAGGCCCCUAUAUUUGGUGAAUGGAAUGAUUGUAAGAUGCACAUGUCUGUCUGGCAUGUUUUAUAUGACCUUGACCUCAUUUUCAUGGUUCAUUGGUCAAUGAAAAGUUUGCAUUGUUUUGUCAGUUUAUCAUAUGCUUUAAGCAACAGGUAAAUUAUAUUUGGUGGAUGUAACGAUUGUAAGGUAUGCAUGUCUGUCUGGCAGAUUCAUAUAACCAUGAUCGCAUUUUAUGGUUCUUUGGUCAAUGCUAAGUUUUCUUGGUUUUUUCAUUUUAUCAGAUAUUAUAAGCAUAUGUCUACUUGUUGGUGUAUGGAAUGACUGCAAGGUGUCAUAUAAAAAUAACAAGAUGUCUGUCUGCCAAGGUUAAUAUUGCUGUGACCUCAUUUUCAUAGAAUAUUGAUAAUAUUAAACAGCAAAAAUGAUGAGCAAGACAAGAUAUACAAAUGAUCCAAAAUUGUCAGUUGCCUACUAGUACUAAUUAUGUGAUAGUAGUUAUUGUCAUUAAAUGAUAAUGUUUACCCUUUUAUGUGUAGGGCAAGGACAUUAAAGAUAAAGGGAAACUAUAAACAAAAGAAAUUAUCAACAAAAAUAGAUUUACAGACGUCAACAAAGCCUAAAUGGUCAGACAUCUUGGUUUUCAUGAUCAUCAUUCAACAAGUCAAUACUGAACAGAAAACUUAAAGUUGAUAUUUUUCUACAUAGUGUGACUUUUUUAUUAAUUUGAAAUGGAAUGUGUGUUUUUCCUACAUAUGUAUAAGAAAGAGGAAAUUUCAUCAUAAUGACUAUAAACAAAAAGGCGUCAUAUCAUCAUGAUCAUAGAUGCACAAGAACUUAAUCAUGUAAAGGCAGCAACGUAAUUAUCAAUUGAAAGAAGGGAGGAAUGAAAAAAUAUAUUAGUAUUUUGUUGUCCAAAUGAACUUGCUUUGUCCACUCAUUUAAAUGGCUCCAUCCAAUAAAGAUGUACGGUGGAAGAUUUUUGAAGAACAGAUUGCAAAAGAGGUUUUGUCUUAGAAUUGUAGAAAUAUUCUAGUGGAUGAAAUAAUUUAUUUACUUGACUCUUAUAUAGUGGACUGAAUAAUUGUACAUAGCAAGCUGAAACAAGAAAAACUAAAACUUAACAGGAAAAGUGUUUAUUUUAUAAAUUUGCAAAUAUAAACGUAAUAUUAUGAACACCACAAAGGUAUAAGAUUCAAAUCGUUUGGAUAUUCAUGUAUUGCAAUGGAACUAUAACAAAGAAAACUUUAACUCAUGAAAAGAGUAAACUAUUAA
This is a long non-coding RNA of Mytilus californianus (California mussel), 1853 nucleotides long. RefSeq lists it as uncharacterized. The transcript has 3 exons. The record is from RefSeq and is a predicted model, not a curated record. Lineage: Eukaryota; Metazoa; Mollusca; Bivalvia; Mytilida; Mytilidae.